Molecule: ribosomal RNA, 255 nt
Filed under: uncultured bacterium
Lineage: Bacteria
Description: partial 16S ribosomal RNA
Rfam family: Bacterial small subunit ribosomal RNA
Source: RNAcentral
UACGGAGGGGGCUAGCGUUGUUCGGAAUUACUGGGCGUAAAGCGCACGUAGGCGGCUUUGCAAGUUAGAGGUGAAAGCCCGGGGCUCAACUCCGGAAUUGCCUUUAAAACUGCAUCGCUAGAAUUGUGGAGAGGUAAGUUGGAAUUCCGAGUGUAGAGGUGAAAUUCGUAGAUAUUCGGAAGAACACCAGUGGCGAAGGCGACUUACUGGACACAUAUUGACGCUGAGGUGCGAAAGCGUGGGGAGCAAACAGGG